GGGCGUAAAGCGUGCGCAGGCGGUUUUGUAAGACAGUGGUGAAAUCCCCGGGCUCAACCUGGGAACUGCCAUUGUGACUGCAAGGCUAGAGUGCGGCAGAGGGGGAUGGAAUUCCGCGUGUAGCAGUGAAAUGCGUAGAUAUGCGGAGGAACACCGAUGGCGAAGGCAAUCCCCUGGGCCUGCACUGACGCUCAUGCACGAAAGCGUGGGGAGCAAACAGGAUUAGAUACCCUG
RNAcentral lists this ribosomal RNA (234 nucleotides) under uncultured Burkholderiales bacterium. RNAcentral describes it as "partial 16S ribosomal RNA". It matches the Rfam family "Bacterial small subunit ribosomal RNA", at positions 556 to 789 of the family's 1533-position model. The record is from RNAcentral. Lineage: Bacteria; Pseudomonadati; Pseudomonadota; Betaproteobacteria; Burkholderiales.